This 641-nucleotide ribosomal RNA is filed under the name uncultured soil bacterium. RNAcentral's name for it is "bacterial SSU rRNA". It matches the Rfam family "Bacterial small subunit ribosomal RNA", at positions 35 to 653 of the family's 1533-position model. The record is from RNAcentral.
GCUGGCGGCGUACUUAACACAUGCAAGUCGAACGAGGAUCAGCGGGUUAGCAAUAAUUCGUUGGUCCUAGUGGCGCACGGGUGAGUAACACGUGGGUGACCUGCCCUGGAGCUCGGGAUACCCCCUCGAAAGGGGGGCUAAUACCGGAUACGUUCCUCGGUCGAAAGACCGGGGAGGAAAGGUGGCGCAAGCUGCCGCUCUUGGAGGGGCUCGCGGCCUAUCAGCUAGUUGGCGGGGUAACGGCCCACCAAGGCUAUGACGGGUAGCUGGUCUGAGAGGACGACCAGCCACACGGGGACUGAGACACGGCCCCGACUCCUACGGGAGGCAGCAGUGGGGAAUUUUCCGCAAUGGGCGAAAGCCUGACGGAGUGACGCCGCGUGUGGGACGAAGGCCUUCGGGUCGUAAACCACUGUCAGUGGGAAAGAAGGGUGUCGGUGUUAAUACCACCGGCAUUUGACGGUACCUGCAGAGGAAGCCCCGGCCAACUCUGUGCCAGCAGCCGCGGUAAGACAGAGGGGGCAAGCGUUGCUCGGAAUUACUGGGCGUAAAGGGCGCGUAGGCGGGAUGGCAAGUCGGUCGUGAAAUCCCUCGGCUCAACCGAGGAACGUCGAUCGAUACUGCUGUUCUUGAGGAUUGCA